RNAcentral lists this ribosomal RNA (446 nucleotides) under uncultured bacterium. RNAcentral describes it as "bacterial SSU rRNA". It matches the Rfam family "Bacterial small subunit ribosomal RNA", at positions 330 to 792 of the family's 1533-position model. The record is from RNAcentral.
UCCAGACUCCUACGGGAGGCAGCAGUGGGGAAUAUUGCACAAUGGGGGAAACCCUGAUGCAGCGACGCCGCGUGGGUGAAGGAGCGUUUCGGCGCGUAAAGCCCUAUCGGCAGGGAAGAAGGAGGACGGUACCUGACUAAGAAGCCCCGGCUAACUACGUGCCAGCAGCCGCGGUAAUACGUAGGGGGCAAGCGUUAUCCGGAUUUACUGGGUGUAAAGGGAGCGUAGACGGCAAUACAAGUCGGAAGUGAAAUACCCGGGCUCAACCUGGGAACUGCUUUGGAAACUGUAUGGCUGGAGUGCUGGAGAGGUAAGCGGAAUUCCUAGUGUAGCGGUGAAAUGCGUAGAUAUUAGGAGGAACACCAGUGGCGAAGGCGGCUUACUGGACAGUAACUGACGUUGAGGCUCGAAAGCGUGGGGAGCAAACAGGAUUAGAUACCCCGGUA